GGUUUGAUCCUGGCUCAGAUUGAACGCUGGCGGGAUGCUUGCAUAUGCAAGUCGAACGGCAGCACGGACUUCGGUCUGGUGGCGAGUGGCGAACGGGUGAGUAAUGUAUCGGAACGUGCCUAUAGCGGGGGAUAACUACGCGAAAGCGUAGCUAAUACCGCAUACGCCCUUCGGGAAAGCGGGGACCUUCGGGCCUCGGUAAUUAUUAGAGCGGCCGAUAUCGGAUUAGCGAAGCGGUGGGGUAACGGCUCACCAAGGCGACGAUCCGUAGCUGGUUUGAGAGGACGACCAGCCACACUGGGACCGAGACACGGCCCAGACUCCUCACGGGAGGCAGCAGAGGGGAAUUUUGGACAAUGGGGAAACCCCGAUCCAGCGCUAGGCCCCGCGUGUGUGCGAUGAAGGCUUUCGUUGUAAAGCACUUUUGGCAGGAAAGAAACGGCACGGGAUAAUACCCCCGUGCAACUGACGGUACCUGCAGAAUAAGCACCGGCUAACUACGUGCCAGCAGCCGCGGUAAUACGUGGUGGGUGCAAGCGUUAAUCGGAAUUACUGGGCGUAAAGCGUGCGCAGGCGGUUCGGAAAGAAAGAUGAAAUCCCAGAGCUUAACUUUGGAACCGCAUUUUUAACUACCGAGCUAGAGUGUGUCAGAGGGAGGUGGAAUUCCGCGUAGUAGUGAAAUGCGUAGAUAUGCGAGGAACACCGAUGGCGAAGGCAGCCUCCUGGGGAUAACACUGACGCUCAUGCACGAAAGCGUGGGGAGCAAACAGGAUUAGAUACUCCUGGGUAGUCCACGCCCUAAACGAUGUCAACUAGCUGUUGGGGCUCGGGCCUUGGUAGCGCAGCUAACGCGUGAAGUUGACCGCCUGGGGAGUACGGUCGCAAGAUUAAAACUCAAAGGAAUUGACGGGGACCCGCACAAGCGGUGGAUGAUGUGGAUUAAUCUUUUGAUGCAACGCGGAAAACCUUACCUACCCUUGACAUGUCUGGAAUCCCGAAGAGAUUUGGGAGUGCUCGCAAGAGAACCGGAACACAGGUGCUACAUGGCUGUCGUCAGCUCGUGUCGUGGAGAUGUUGUUAAGUCUCGCAACGAGCGCAACCCUUGUCAUUAGUUGCUACGAAAGGGCAAUUUAAUGAGACUGCCGGUGACAAACCGGAGAAGGUGGGGAUGACGUCAAGUCCUCAUGGCCCUUGCGGCAGGGCUCACACGUCAUACAAUGCCGGACAGAGGGUCGCCAACCCGCGAGGGGAGCCAAUCCCAGAAACCCGAUCGUAGGCGCCAGCACGGCCACGCCGCCGCCAGCCGGCCAGCGGACACAGCUGCCACAGCAGCCCGCGGUCCGGAUCGCAGUCUGCAACUCGACUGCGUGAAGUCGGAAUCGCUAGUAAUCGCGGAUCAGUAUGUCGCGGGGUGAACACGUUCCCGGGUCUUGUACACACCGCCCGUCACACCAUGGAGUGGGUUUUACCAUAGUAGUUAGCCCAACCGUGGUGAGGGCGGACACACGGUGGAUUCAUGACUGGGUGAAGUCGUAACAAGGUAG
Molecule: ribosomal RNA, 1544 nt
Filed under: uncultured Bordetella sp.
Lineage: Bacteria; Pseudomonadati; Pseudomonadota; Betaproteobacteria; Burkholderiales; Alcaligenaceae
Description: partial 16S-23S ribosomal RNA intergenic spacer
Rfam family: Bacterial small subunit ribosomal RNA
Source: RNAcentral